GAUGAACGCUGGCUACAGGCUUACCACAUGCAAGUCGAGGGGAAACGACGGGGAAGCUUGCUUCCCCGGGCGUCGACCGGCGCACGGGUGAGUAACGCGUAUCCAACCUGCCUCUGACUGAGGGAUAACCCGUCGAAAGUCGGCCUAAUACCUCAUGGCAUCGUCUGCGGGCAUCCAACGACGAUUAAAGAUUUCAUCGGUCAGGGAUGGGGAUGCGUCUGAUUAGCUUGUUGGCGGGGUAACGGCCCACCAAGGCUACGAUCAGUAGGGGUUCUGAGAGGAAGGUCCCCCACAUUGGAACUGAGACACGGUCCAAACUCCUACGGGAGGCAGCAGUGAGGAAUAUUGGUCAAUGGGCGGGAGCCUGAACCAGCCAAGUAGCGUGCAGGAUGACGGCCCUAUGGGUUGUAAACUGCUUUUAUGCGGGGAUAAAGUGAGGGACGUGUCCUUCAUUGCAGGUACCGCAUGAAUAAGGACCGGCUAAUUCCGUG
This 491-nucleotide ribosomal RNA is filed under the name uncultured bacterium. RNAcentral's name for it is "partial 16S ribosomal RNA". It matches the Rfam family "Bacterial small subunit ribosomal RNA", at positions 28 to 507 of the family's 1533-position model. The record is from RNAcentral.